RNAcentral lists this ribosomal RNA (497 nucleotides) under uncultured bacterium. RNAcentral's name for it is "partial 16S ribosomal RNA". It matches the Rfam family "Bacterial small subunit ribosomal RNA", at positions 28 to 507 of the family's 1533-position model. The record is from RNAcentral.
GAUGAACGCUGGCGGCGUGCCUAAUACAUGCAAGUCGAGCGAACGGACGAGAAGCUUGCUUCUCUGAUGUUAGCGGCGGACGGGUGAGUAACACGUGGAUAACCUACCUAUAAGACUGGGAUAACUUCGGGAAACCGGAGCUAAUACCGGAUGAUAUUUUGAACCGCAUGGUUCAAAAGUGAAAGACGGUCUUGCUGUCACUUAUAGAUGGAUCCGCGCUGCAUUAGCUAGUUGGUAAGGUAACGGCUUACCAAGGCAACGAUGCAUAGCCGACCUGAGAGGGUGAUCGGCCACACUGGAACUGAGACACGGUCCAGACUCCUACGGGAGGCAGCAGUAGGGAAUCUUCCGCAAUGGGCGAAAGCCUGACGGAGCAACGCCGCGUGAGUGAUGAAGGUCUUCGGAUCGUAAAGCUCUGUUAUUAGGGAAGAACAUAUGUGUAAGUAACUGUGCACAUCUUGACGGUACCUAAACAGAAAGCCACGGCUAACUACGUG